Molecule: ribosomal RNA, 1079 nt
Filed under: Phylloporus imbricatus
Lineage: Eukaryota; Fungi; Basidiomycota; Agaricomycetes; Boletales; Boletaceae
Description: eukaryotic LSU rRNA
Rfam family: 5.8S ribosomal RNA (bases 631-785)
Source: RNAcentral
GACUGUGCUGGCCGUUUGAAUAAGACAGCAUGUGCACGUCCCCUCGUCUUCGUUCGGUCUGUCGUAUACCCACACCUGUGCACCAAUUGUAGAUCUUUCAAUGUUAAUGUUGAUGGAAGUCCUUUAUCUCGUCCGACGAGUUAGCUUAGUUACUAGGCAGUCUUUCGAAAGAGAGGCUGGCGAAAGCAAAGCUAGAGGAUCAAAGUUGAUGUCGAUGUCGACGGGUAAAUCCCUGAUCUGAUCAAGCUUAGUUACUAGGCAGUCUUUGAAAAGAGGCUGGCGAAAGCAAGCAAGAAAGGACAGGAUAAAAGUCAAUGUCGAUGUCGAUGGUAAGUCCUUGAUCUCGUCAAGCUUAGUUACUAGGCAGUCCUUUCAAAAAGAGACUGGCGAAAGCAAGCAGGAAAAGAGGAGGAUGAAAGUUAAUGUUGAUGUAGAGGGGUAGAAUCAAAGUUAAUGUUAAUGGAAGUCCUUGAUGAGUUAGCUUAGUUACUAGGCAGUCUUUCGAAAGAGAGGCUGGCGAAAGCAAGCAAGCAGAGGAUGAAAGUUAAUGUUGAUGCUGAUGAUAUCAAUGGAUCUAUGUUUUCAUCAUCACACACUAUUGUAUGGCCAGAAUGUUUAUAAAUAAAAUACAACUUUCAGCAAUGGAUCUCUUGGUUCUCGCAUCGAUGAAGAACGCAGCGAAUUGCGAUAAGUAAUGUGAAUUGCAGAUUUCCAGUGAAUCAUCGAAUCUUUGAACGCAUCUUGCGCUCCUUGGUAUUCCGAGGAGCAUGCCUGUUUGAGUGUCAUUUAAUUAUCAACCAUCGUUCUUUAGGGAAUGAUGGCUUGGAGUUGGGGGUUGCUGGCGACGACCUGGUUGUCAGCUCUCCUUAAAAGCAUUAGCGAUCGAAGUCUUUCGACAUGCACGGCCAUUGACGUGAUAAUGAUCGUCGUGGCUGGAGUGUCUUUCCUAGACUAUGCUAGAUAGAUCGCUUCUAAUAGACAAGAUCCUUGAUCUUCAUCAAGCUUAGCUACUAGGCAGUCUUUGAAAAGAGGCUGGCGAACACAAGCUAUGGAAGUCAAUGUUGACGAAAUAUAAUGAC